AGGGUUUGAUUAUGGCUCAGGACGAACGCUGGCGGCGUGCCUAACACAUGCAAGUCGAACGGAAGUUAGAGCUUCGGUUUUAACUUUAGUGGCGAACGGGUGAGUAACGCGUGAGGAACCUGCCUUUCAGUGGGGGACAACAGUUGGAAACGACUGCUAAUACCGCAUGAUACUUUUGGGAGACAUCUCCUGGAAGUCAAAGCUUUAUGUGCUGAAAGAUGGCCUCGCGUCUGAUUAGCUAGUUGGUGAGGUAACGGCUCACCAAGGCGACGAUCAGUAGCCGGUCUGAGAGGAUGAACGGCCACAUUGGGACUGAGAUACGGCCCAG
Molecule: ribosomal RNA, 328 nt
Filed under: uncultured bacterium
Lineage: Bacteria
Description: bacterial SSU rRNA
Rfam family: Bacterial small subunit ribosomal RNA
Source: RNAcentral